GGGGUGUCCCAGGGUCCUAUCUCGCUGAGCCGCUCGCAACUACUUACCGCGCGCGAAUCCUCCAGGGCAGCUGAGUUAGCCAGCCAGAGAAGCCCGCCCCCGGCGACUGAGUCUGCACUCGGGACCGGAAAUACGUCCCCGAGAGUGCGUCACUUCCGGCAGGCUAAUGUACCUAGCAUUGUGUGCUGAAUGUUCUUCAUAAUUGCUUACUUCACUCUUCACUUCAUCCUGAGAGGGAGGAUUAGUACUACAGAAUGAAACAUGAACUGGACGCAGGACUCGGGGGGGAAGAGGAGGUCUUGACUUUUGUGAAUAAGACUCUGUGACCCAAGAGCCCCCAUAUGUUCCAUAAGCACUAUCUGCAGCUGGAGCCUCUGCCUCCAAGAGGCUGGAUUUGUUACUUGCAUCGACAGUGAGAUGGUAGGUAACCUGUGGCAUAGGUGAAGCCGGAGAAAGGGAUUAGCAUAACCUACUGAACUGUUACGUGAGGAGAUGGUUGGAGAGAGGAGACAAGGCGCCGGAACAGCUAUGGUGCUUCUCCAGGGACAAAGGCCUCAGCAUCCAGACACCCUUAGGACGGGGAGUGGCCUCUUCUUUAAAGCUUGGCUCUUGUGGUUCUUUUUGCCUGACAGCUUGCUUGACGUGAGGCAUCAUUCCCAGUUUCUCUGAAUUAUACCGUUAGUUUCCUUCUUGGCGCUCAUCCCCACCUCUCAUUUUAUCUGCUUUGCGUACUGACCACCUCCCCCAGAUAAAUACGCCCUCAAAGCAAGGAACUUGGUUUCUUUUGCUCACCGCUGUAUCAUCAUUGCCUAGCACAGCACCUGGCACUUGGUGGGCUCUCGGUAGCGUUAUUUAAUAAAUGCUUUCUGCACUGCUUGCUGGUGGAGGAAGCCACUCUAGGCUUGCCGGGACCCACACAAGAAUGCUGGUGUCAGCUGAUUGGGCACAGUGGGGGCUGUGAGGCCCGAGAACUGGGCCAGUCAGAGGGCGAGUGGAUGGGCCCAGGGGCACAGGCAGUGGAGAAGUUCGGAAGCCAGCUUCCCUCAGCCUUAGGAUACCCAGUGGCCAGUGUUCCCCGGGAGAAGGACCCGGACUUAUUUUGGGGGAAAGAGGCAAAUGUCAACUAAAUAAAUUCACUGGGAAUUUUAUGAAAGCUCACACAGCACCAGUACACACACAUUCAGGGUCUGCCAUGGGGCGCAGAACACCUGGGACACAGUGCACCGGCCUGACUUUCAGGUUAAGAGCUCUAGAGCUCCAUACUGAGCUCUCUGAUCGAUCUCUUAUUACACACACACUCACCAUAUAGCUAACAUAUUCUAGUACAGAUAUAUCAAAUAUAUCCUAUGUAGGAGAGAUGUAUUUUAAAAUAUCAAAACAGAGAGGGAGGCAAACUGUAAGAGAUGGCUAAUCAUAGGAAACAGACUGAGGGGUGCUGGAGGGGAGAGGGGUUGG
Lutra lutra (Eurasian river otter) is the source of this 1455-nucleotide long non-coding RNA. RefSeq lists it as uncharacterized. Lineage: Eukaryota; Metazoa; Chordata; Mammalia; Carnivora; Mustelidae. The record is from RefSeq and is a predicted model, not a curated record. The transcript has 5 exons.